GGCCUUUUGAUAUUAAUUUAAGGUCCGGCCUGCCCAAUGAGUAUAUUCAAUGGCUGCAGUAUUUUAACUGUACAAAGGUAGCAUAAUCAUUAGUUUUUUAAUUAAAAACUAGUAUGAAUGGUUUAAUGAGAAAAAAUCUGUCUUUAUUUAAUUUUUUAGAGAAAUUUAUUUUUAAGUUAAAAAGCUUAAAUUUAUUUAAAAGACGAGAAGACCCUAUAGAGUUUUAUAAUUAAUUAGUUAAUAAGGUUUUAAGUAUAGAUUUUUUAUUUAAUUAAUAAAUUAUUUAAUUGGGGUGAUUUAAAAAUUUAAUUAACUUUUUAAUAUUUAAAACAUUUAUUUAUGUAUAAUUGAUCCAUAUAUUGUGAUUAAAAGAUUAAAUUACCUUAGGGAUAACAGCGUAAUUUUUUUGGAGAGUUCUUAUCAAUAAAAAAGAUUGCGACCUCGAUGUUGGAUUAAAAUUUACUAUUGGCGCAGAAGUUAAUAAGUUGGGUCUGUUCGACCUUUAAAAUUUUACAUGAUCUGAGUUUAAACCGGUGUGAGCCAGG
This 545-nucleotide ribosomal RNA is filed under the name Saphydrus suffusus. RNAcentral describes it as "partial large subunit ribosomal RNA". It matches the Rfam family "Bacterial large subunit ribosomal RNA", at positions 1860 to 2630 of the family's 2925-position model. The record is from RNAcentral. Lineage: Eukaryota; Metazoa; Arthropoda; Insecta; Coleoptera; Hydrophilidae.